This is a non-coding RNA of Equus caballus (horse), 811 nucleotides long. The record is from RefSeq and is a predicted model, not a curated record. Lineage: Eukaryota; Metazoa; Chordata; Mammalia; Perissodactyla; Equidae.
UCUGGCGGGAGCGGAGCAGUCUUUCUUCGCAAAAAGUUGUCUGUUUUCACCUGUCUGGAGGCUGCCUGAAGACAGGAUGCACGGUACUUCGCUUUGUAAGGACUAAAUUGGAACUCUCUCAGGAAGGAAGAGGCACAACGCUGAGAGCAGUCCUCAAAAACACUGACAGACAAAAAAAAAACCGUCUCUGCCACAAGGGGUAAACGAUUCCAGCUGAAGCAAACAGUAAACAUGACGAAGCCGGGGAGGAAAAGCUGAGCAAAGACACUCUUCAGGAGAAGUAGGACAUCGAAAAGCUCCAGCAUCUCCUGGAGAAGGCGACCGUGUAGCCGGGAGUUUAAAAGCCAUGCACAUGCCCAGGGCAGGGCGCAUGCUCAGAAACGACCUGAGCCCACCUCAGUGCUCUUCGCCUGGGCUGAUCUUGAGCGCUGCCGUGGAGUGGCCAGCUGCCUAGCUAAGGGUCAGAAGAGCAACCCAACACAGGGCCAAUCUGCAAAGCCAGGAAGGUGGCUUACAACAGAAGAAAAUCAGAAGUCUUUGCAACGGAGGCUGAUGCAUUUUUAGAAGCCAGAAGAGAGAAGACUUACUAGAUGGUUUUCAUUUUUGAUCAUUGAUCCUGACAUAAUAGAAUGUGACCUACGUAGAGAAGACAAAAGGCAGAAAUACAACACAACCAAAGAAUACACGCUGGAAAAGGAAUCACUGAAGAAAAACGGAUAGGAAGCAUAUCUCAUGUUUUUGUGUGUGCAGGCAUACCUCGGAGAUGUUGUGGGUUUGGUACCUGACUGCUGUAAUAAAGCUAAUAUCACAA